Long non-coding RNA from Armigeres subalbatus, 1476 nucleotides. RefSeq lists it as uncharacterized. The transcript has 3 exons. NCBI's taxonomy places the organism in Eukaryota, Metazoa, Arthropoda, Insecta, Diptera, Culicidae. The record is from RefSeq and is a predicted model, not a curated record.
CCGGUGUGGAUGCCGGCCGGCAUCGAUUGCAAUUGUAAACGGAAUUAAAAAAGCGUCUUUUCGUUUCCUUCUCGAACUGGUCGGAGCCACAUGCCAUUGCCAAACGGAGAGCCAUCAGAACAUUUACGUCGGAUAAAGGACGUGUUUGGAAACGGCGUUCACCUCCACGAGGCUACACGGCGGAAUAUGCAUUGUGUGAAAAUCUGGAGAACCUCACAGGCGCCAGGUCCCGAUAAAGUGAUGGAAAAAAGAACAGAUGGCAAACGGGAGUGAACAUUUUGGUUUAAAAACGGAAGUCACUUCAUUAUCAGGCAGAUUUAUCCAGGCGUGAGUAAGAUGAUGGGUCAAUCCUCAUCUCCAAGUAAUACGGUGAUCGAAGCAAAUCUGACAUUAAAUAAAAAAUAAGUUGCGUGUUUCAAAAACAAAUUCAGCGAUCAAACGAACGAAAGCAAUGGUAUGUUAGAACGUAGUCCAAAAUCAACAACCCAAAAUACUUCCACGAGCGACGAUGAUUCCACGGUGGACUUGUUCGAUUGGGAUUUGCAAGCCUUCUGUGCACAACUCGAUCGAAUCGCCAGCAACGAUGACAACCGGAAGACUACGCCCGAAGAAGCAGCUUCCGAAGAUUGUGAUGAAAUCCCUGAUGCUAUCAGAAAAUAAAUGUUUCCAUCGAGUACGAACCCUCGAGCUGAUCUCAACUGUUCAUGGAGGUAGUGACUCGAGAGCCGAACCGCCCUUCAUCCAGCAACAGAAAUUUCAAACGCAGCGUGAUUACACCACCUACUCGCAGUACAUCCGGAACGAGUACACGAUGUUGGAGGAGAACAGAUCGAACGUAAUCGAUGAUGGACACCCAACGGGUACGAGAGUUCGAUUCAAGCCAGCGUCGAACGGACGUGGAGAAAGAUUUCUGAAUGUUUGGGCCAACAUGAGCAACAUUAAUUGGGAUGAAAUCGGCUGGAGGAAGUCGGCACCGUUGGUUUCGUCGCACUUCCAGAGGCUGGGUCCAAUGGGUCCAUUCUAUGGGCUGCCGAAUAAGAUAAUAGAUUUGCUGAGGUAGUUCCGUGGUAUUCCGGAGAUGUAUGGCAAGUACUAAGCCCUGCACUGGGCAUAUUUACGAGUUCUCAUUCGACGAAUAGUUCCCGUCUCCCGAAGGUCGAAGACCGGCUGGACGCCGCCAGUGCAACAGCCAGCGUCACCAGCGAGUGCAAUCACAACCACCCAAAUCCGCCGUCACUCAACAUCAAAUCCAGUUAUCAACAGCGGAGCAACAUUCUGGUAGUUUUCGUUCCGAUUACAGGAACCUCCAGCAGGAAAACCCCUUUGUUAUAGCCGCCCAGGUGCCAUGCUCAUGAAGGAAACCCCCAACUCUAGCCGCAGCUCGUUAUUUUUCUCACGGAUACGGAACGGAUACUGGUGAAAUCCGCAUCGGCAUCGAUAUUCUGUCAAAAAUCCAAUUGAACGCAAUUGAAUGUA